Non-coding RNA from Equus caballus (horse), 2075 nucleotides. NCBI's taxonomy places the organism in Eukaryota, Metazoa, Chordata, Mammalia, Perissodactyla, Equidae. The record is from RefSeq and is a predicted model, not a curated record.
GCCUGGCACAUCCACGCCUCCGAAGUGAGCAAACAGCGUCUGGCUCGGUGGCCCUCCCCGGGGGACAGGAGCCACCGGGGGACGUCGGCCUGCUUCCUCAUCACAGCUGAGGAAGAGCCCGGGCCAUCCCUCAGCAAGACUCGAGGCAGCAAAGACCAACCCAGGGCGCCUCCUCCCUGCCCCUGGGCCCAUCCAGAUCCCAGCUGCCACACAAACCUGGCGGAAGACAAAACCCAAAAGGGGCUGACUAGACCCUCCAGCACCAGAGAGGUUCUCUGUCACUCAGGGACCUGUGGCUGGAGGGCAGAGCCAGGCAGAGACUCCAGUGCUCCGCAUUUGCUGGUCUUGUCAUUUCGCCCCCCUCUUGCCAUCUGCUUCCAGGACAGAGAUUUUUGACAUAGUUCUUCAAGGUUCUCUGAUGUCCAAAACUCUCCAGACCCAUUGGAGGGGAGGACAGACCUUGUCUUUCCAAGAGCAGUCCCGACCCGUGGCCCCAUGACCAUCAGCCGCGUGCGCCCUCACGGUCAAUUGUGACAAAAGAGGUCUCUGAUUCUGAGUGUGAGCAGGUGAUCUGCUGGGGACCAGUGGGUGAGUACUAACUAGUACUUAGACUGUUCCACUCAAACCCCUUCCCUCUGGGUAUUGCUGGACCCAUGUGUGGGUGGACAUGGGCCUGCACUUGCUGAACGUGUGAGUGGACAGAGUCUGGAGAGCAGACACCAAUGAUGACCCCGUGUGCUGUGGGUGAGCUUGCUGCGGUACGUGACCUCUGGGCACACUGAUGACAGCCAGCAACAGAGGUAACUUCACCUCCCCUGGCUGGCCAGACCCGCCUCUGGGUGUGUGACUGUCGCGUGGUCCAGGACAUGCCAGAUGUGGGUGGCAGGUCCCUGGCGGCUGCCGUGGCCCAGUCCCGAGGGCUCACACCAUGGCCAGGCAGGGGGCAGAAGGUUGGGUUUCCGGGUAGACUUUUUGGACCAGGCGCCUCCUCCUUCCCUGCCUGUGGGAGGGGAUCCAGGGCCCGGCAUCUGCACCUGCGUGCAAGCUCAUUGGUCCCAGGACGUCCCUGGGACCUGCUAUCUACACAGGCCUGUCCAGGAUGGGUUGCGGGAACCUUUAAACGCCUGUCUUUAAACAGCUUUAAAGAGCUUUACAGGCCCCAUCUGCCUCUUGGGCUCCUCCUCGGUGUGGAUUCUUCUUUUAUGGGGUUUUGAGGCCUUUGACCUGCUCACCCCUCACCUCCGCUGAGUCCUACAGAGCCUGGCAGCAGAGGCGCGGGCACAGGAGGCCCUUGGUGCCGCCCUCCCCACCCCUCGCGAGGCCACAAGGAUCCCAGCCCACAGACCCCGCAGAAUGGGCCUGGAUUGCGAGGGCUGCUGGGUCAGGGACAUUUCCACGGCUUGACGACUGACCCCUGGUUCCUGGCAGCUCAGCUUCUGCUGGCGUUGGCAGCUUCCGGAAGAGCUCCAGAGACGUUGCCCUCAGCGCAGGUCUGCCUGGACUCGGGAGCCCCGUGGACCCCCAAGGAAAGACACCUGGCCAGGGGCUUACAGGAGGCUUCCUGGAGCAGGUGCACAACCUCGUGAGAAGAAUCCAUCCCCAGGGGGCUGCAGGGCUGGCUCUGCGACGCCCGGUCCCUCUGUGAACACGGGCCCACCUCCAGAGUUUGUCUUCUUCCCUCCAUCUAUUUGCACACCCAUCUGCUGUGGUGUCAGGUCUUGGAGGUGAAACGGCCCCGGGCUCUCCCCGUUCCAACGGUUCCUGAAAGAUACCUGCUCUGGCUCCGGCUAUGGGGAAGCGAUUCUCCCUGAGGAGCCGACGCUGCUCUGUAGAGAACCACGUUUGCCGUCGUCUCAGCGGGAAUCGUCCACCUGCUGCCUCUGCUCAAGGCUGCACUGUUGCAGAGCUGGGCGGGGGCUUAAUGGCCACAGCCCAACUCUCACCCUACAGGCAAGGGCAAUGGUGCCCUGAAAGGAAUCUGCCCUGAGUAAACCGUGAGCGGUGAAGACAAACCUGGAUCCAUGAGCUACAAUUUUAGUGAGCAAAAACAUGGAAACAACCUAAACAAGGGGAUU